RNAcentral lists this ribosomal RNA (248 nucleotides) under uncultured Actinomycetales bacterium. Its description in RNAcentral is "partial 16S ribosomal RNA". It matches the Rfam family "Bacterial small subunit ribosomal RNA", at positions 85 to 334 of the family's 1533-position model. The record is from RNAcentral. Lineage: Bacteria; Bacillati; Actinomycetota; Actinomycetes; Actinomycetales.
GGGUACUCGAGUGGCGAACGGGUGAGUAACACGUGAGUAACCUGCCCUUGACUUCGGGAUAACUUCAGGAAACUGGGGCUAAUACCGGAUAGGAAUCCUUGCUGCAUGGUGGGGGUUGGAAAGCUUCGGCGGUUUUGGAUGGACUCGCGGCUUAUCAGCUUGUUGGUGGGGUAGUGGCUUACCAAGGCUUUGACGGGUAGCCGGCCUGAGAGGGCGACCGGCCACAUUGGGACUGAGAUACGACCCAG